CAAACUGGAGAUGGCGACCGGCGCACGGGUGAGUAACACGUAUCCAACCUGCCCUUUACUCGGGGAUAGCCUUUCGAAAGAAAGAUUAAUACCCGAUAGCAUAAUGAUUCCGCAUGGUUUCAUUAUUAAAGGAUUCCGGUAAAGGAUGGGGAUGCGUUCCAUUAGGUUGUUGGCGGGGUAACGGCCCACCAAGCCUUCGAUGGAUAGGGGUUCUGAGAGGAAGGUCCCCCACAUUGGAACUGAGACACGGUCCAA
Molecule: ribosomal RNA, 255 nt
Filed under: uncultured bacterium
Lineage: Bacteria
Description: partial 16S ribosomal RNA
Rfam family: Bacterial small subunit ribosomal RNA
Source: RNAcentral